UACGUAGGGUGCAAGCGUUAAUCGGAAUUACUGGGCGUAAAGCGUGCGCAGGCGGUUGUGUAAGACAGAUGUGAAAUCCCCGGGCUCAACCUGGGAACUGCAUUUGUGACUGCACAGCUGGAGUGCGGCAGAGGGGGAUGGAAUUCCGCGUGUAGCAGUGAAAUGCGUAGAUAUUUGGAGGAACACCAAUGGCGAAGGCAGCCCCCUGGGUUAACACUGACGCUCAUGCACGAAAGCGUGGGGAGCAAACAGG
This 253-nucleotide ribosomal RNA is filed under the name uncultured bacterium. Its description in RNAcentral is "partial 16S ribosomal RNA". It matches the Rfam family "Bacterial small subunit ribosomal RNA", at positions 524 to 776 of the family's 1533-position model. The record is from RNAcentral.